Molecule: ribosomal RNA, 465 nt
Filed under: uncultured bacterium
Lineage: Bacteria
Description: partial 16S ribosomal RNA
Rfam family: Bacterial small subunit ribosomal RNA
Source: RNAcentral
GACGAACGUUGGCGGCGUGCUUAACACAUGCAAGUCGUACGGUAAGGCCCUUUCGGGGGUGCACGAGUGGCGGACGGGUGAGUAACACGUGAGUAACCUGCCCACAACUUUGGGGUAACGCUAGGAAACUGGUGCUAAUACUGGAUAUGUGCUCCUGCUGCAUGGUGGGGGUUGGAAAGCUCCGGCGGUUGUGGAUGGACUCGCGGCCUAUCAGCUUGUUGGUGGGGUAGUGGCCUACCAAGGCGGCGACGGGUAGCCGGCCUGAGAGGGUGACCGGCCACAUUGGGACUGAGAUACGGCCCAGACUCCUACGGGACGCAGCAGUGGGGAAUAUUGCAAAAUGGGCGCGAGCCUGAUGCAGCAACGCCGCGUGCGGGAUGACGGCCUUCGGGUUGUAAACCGCUUUAAGCAGGGACGAAGCUUUUUGUGACGGUACCUGCAGAAGAAGCACCGGCUAACUACGUG